UUAAAGAGAGUUUGAUCCUGGCUCAGGACGAACGCUGGCGGCGUGCCUAAUACAUGCAAGUAGAACGCUGAGAACUGGUGCUUGCACCGGUUCAAGGAGUUGCGAACGGGUGAGUAACGCGUAGGUAACCUACCUCAUAGCGGGGGAUAACUAUUGGAAACGAUAGCUAAUACCGCAUAAGAGAGACUAACGCAUGUUAGUAAUUUAAAAGGGGCAAUUGCUCCACUAUGAGAUGGACCUGCGUUGUAUUAGCUAGUUGGUGAGGUAAAGGCUCACCAAGGCGACGAUACAUAGCCGACCUGAGAGGGUGAUCGGCCACACUGGGACUGAGACACGGCCCAGACUCCUACGGGAGGCAGCAGUAGGGAAUCUUCGGCAAUGGGGGCAACCCUGACCGAGCAACGCCGCGUGAGUGAAGAAGGUUUUCGGAUCGUAAAGCUCUGUUGUUAGAGAAGAAUGAUGGUGGGAGUGGAAAAUCCACCAAGUGACGGUAACUAACCAGAAAGGGACGGCUAACUACGUGCCAGCAGCCGCGGUAAUACGUAGGUCCCGAGCGUUGUCCGGAUUUAUUGGGCGUAAAGCGAGCGCAGGCGGUUUUUUAAGUCUGAAGUUAAAGGCAUUGGCUCAACCAAUGUACGCUUUGGAAACUGGAGAACUUGAGUGCAGAAGGGGAGAGUGGAAUUCCAUGUGUAGCGGUGAAAUGCGUAGAUAUAUGGAGGAACACCGGUGGCGAAAGCGGCUCUCUGGUCUGUAACUGACGCUGAGGCUCGAAAGCGUGGGGAGCAAACAGGAUUAGAUACCCUGGUAGUCCACGCCGUAAACGAUGAGUGCUAGGUGUUAGGCCCUUUCCGGGGCUUAGUGCCGGAGCUAACGCAUUAAGCACUCCGCCUGGGGAGUACGACCGCAAGGUUGAAACUCAAAGGAAUUGACGGGGGCCCGCACA
This 943-nucleotide ribosomal RNA is filed under the name Escherichia coli. Its description in RNAcentral is "bacterial SSU rRNA". It matches the Rfam family "Bacterial small subunit ribosomal RNA", at positions 1 to 927 of the family's 1533-position model. Lineage: Bacteria; Pseudomonadati; Pseudomonadota; Gammaproteobacteria; Enterobacterales; Enterobacteriaceae. The record is from RNAcentral.